RNAcentral lists this ribosomal RNA (253 nucleotides) under uncultured bacterium. RNAcentral's name for it is "partial 16S ribosomal RNA". It matches the Rfam family "Bacterial small subunit ribosomal RNA", at positions 524 to 776 of the family's 1533-position model. The record is from RNAcentral.
UACGGAGGAUGCAAGCGUUAUCCGGAAUCAUUGGGCGUAAAGCGUCCGCAGGUGGCAGUUCAAGUCUGCUGUCAAAGACUGGGGCUUAACCCUAGAAAGGCAGUGGAAACUGAACAGCUAGAGUGCGGUAGGGGUAGAGGGAGUUCCCGGUGUAGCGGUGAAAUGCGUAGAGAUCGGGAAGAACACCAGUGGCGAAAGCGCUCUGCUGGACCUGCACUGACACUGAGGGACGAAAGCUAGGGGAGCGAAUGGG